AUUGAACGCUGGCGGCAGGCCUAACACAUGCAAGUCGAACGAGUGGCGGACGGGUGAGUAAUGUCUGGGAAACUGCCUGAUGGAGGGGGAUAACUACUGGAAACGGUAGCUAAUACCGCAUACCAUCAGAUGUGCCCAGAUGGGAUUAGCACGUUGGUGGGGUAACGACUCACCAAGGCGACGAUCCCUAGCUGGGCUGAGAGGAUGACCAUACACACGUGAACUGAGCCACGUGCCAGACUCCUACGGGAGGCAGCAGUGGUGAAUAUUGCACAAUGGGCGCAAGCCUGAUGCAGCCAGGCCGCGUGUAUGAAGAAGGCCUUCGGGUUGUAAAGUACUUUCAGCGGGGAGGCGUUACCCGCAGAAGAAGCACCGGCUAACUCCGUGCCAGCAGCCGCGGUAAUAC
RNAcentral lists this ribosomal RNA (406 nucleotides) under uncultured bacterium. RNAcentral's name for it is "partial 16S ribosomal RNA". It matches the Rfam family "Bacterial small subunit ribosomal RNA", at positions 30 to 526 of the family's 1533-position model. The record is from RNAcentral.